RNAcentral lists this ribosomal RNA (460 nucleotides) under uncultured bacterium. RNAcentral describes it as "partial 16S ribosomal RNA". It matches the Rfam family "Bacterial small subunit ribosomal RNA", at positions 338 to 795 of the family's 1533-position model. The record is from RNAcentral.
CCUACGGGCGGCAGCAGUGAGGAAUAUUGGUCAAUGGGCGCGAGCCUGAACCAGCCAAGUAGCGUGAAGGAUGACUGCCCUACGGGUUGUAAACUUCUUUUAUAAAGGAAUAAAGUGAGGCACGUGUGCCUUUUUGUAUGUACUUUAUGAAUAAGGAUCGGCUAACUCCGUGCCAGCAGCCGCGGUAAUACGGAGGAUCCGAGCGAUAUCCGGAUUUAUUGGGGUUAAAGGGAGCGUAGAUGGGUUGUUAAGUCAGUUGUGAAAGUUUGCGGCUCAACCGUAAAAUUGCAAUUGUGACUGGCAGCCUUGAGUACAGUUGAGGUAGGCGGAAUGCGUGGUGGAGCGGUGAAAUGCUUAGAUAUCACGAAGAACUCCGAUUGCGAAGGCAGCUUACUAAACUGCCACUGACAUUGAUGCUCGAAAGUGUGGGUAUCAAACAGGAUUAGAUACCCCAGUAGUC